RNAcentral lists this ribosomal RNA (253 nucleotides) under uncultured bacterium. RNAcentral describes it as "partial 16S ribosomal RNA". It matches the Rfam family "Bacterial small subunit ribosomal RNA", at positions 524 to 776 of the family's 1533-position model. The record is from RNAcentral.
UACGAAGGGGGCUAGCGUUGCUCGGAAUGACUGGGCGUAAAGGGCGCGUAGGCGGCCAACUAAGUCAGACGUGAAAUCCCUCGGCUCAACCGGGGAACUGCGUCUGAUACUGGAUGGCUUGAAUUCGGGAGAGGGAUGCGGAAUUCCAGGUGUAGCGGUGAAAUGCGUAGAUAUCUGGAGGAACACCGGUGGCGAAGGCGGCAUCCUGGACCGAGAUUGACGCUGAUGCGCGAAAGCCAGGGGAGCAAACGGG